Sorex araneus (European shrew) is the source of this 386-nucleotide non-coding RNA. The record is from the annotation of a RefSeq genome assembly. Lineage: Eukaryota; Metazoa; Chordata; Mammalia; Eulipotyphla; Soricidae.
CUGACAUGGUGUCUGAGAUCAUGGACCUCAUGGGCAGGGACAUGCAUGAGCGCUGGUUCCUCCUCUUUCUGGUGGCAGCUCCCGGAUGUGUCCUAUCCCAGGUGCAGCUGCAAGAGUCGGGACCAAGCCUGCUGAUGCCCUCGCAGACGCUAUCUCUCACCUGUUCGGUUUCCAGAUUCUCUAUAACCAGCAAUGGUGUGCACUGGGUCCGCCAGGCCCCUGGAAAGGGGCUGGAUUGGAUUGGUGUUAUAGGUACUGGUGGGGACAAAUACUAUAACCCAAGUCUUCAGUCCCGAGUCAGCAUCUCCAGGGACACCACCAAGAACCAAGUUUACCUAAAACUGAGCAACUCAGUAACUGAGGACACAGCCGUGUAUUAUUGUGCA